RNAcentral lists this long non-coding RNA (905 nucleotides) under Mytilus galloprovincialis (Mediterranean mussel). Lineage: Eukaryota; Metazoa; Mollusca; Bivalvia; Mytilida; Mytilidae. The record is from RNAcentral.
UGAAAACUAUCAGAUUGGAGCGACUUAAAACGAACAUAAAUGGACGUGACACUUAACAUAUCAACAUAAACAAAUACUACGGUUGUUUUAAAGCAUGUUACUGUGAGGAUUAAACACGGUUCUGUGAAUAUUAAACACGGUUCUGUGAAUAUUAAACACGGUUCUGUGAAUAUUAAACACACAGACAUUAAGGUACAGGUAUUGUAGCAGAAGUACAAUAUAACAAAGAAGUGAAAUGAAUAGAUGACAUCACUGGAGAGGAUAAGAGAAGGAAGUAUCAAGGUUGAUAAAGCCAAUUACUGUAAACACGCUAGUGUUAUGAUUAAAUAAAUAGCCACUGAGGUGAAGACUUUGUGGCAGAACAAAAAUAUAACAACGACGUGUAGUUCCACGAUGACAUUAAUUGAGAGAAAAUAGUGUUUAAUGUUAUUGCAGUUUUCCAUUGUUAUUGAACAAUAGUUUGUUCAUCAUUGGAUUAAACUCAGAUUACAGUGUGAGCUAUUAUCCUACCUUUGUGUGGGUUUACUUUUUUUUGUUAGACACAGUUUUCUAUACAUGAUCGUGAUAGAGUCCCAUUGAUCGGGACUUAUCCAGAGAAAUUUUACAGGCCCUUCUGACAGUUAGGAUCAUACAUGUACCGUUACGAUCGGGAAACUCGAUUGUGUUUAGUCGAAUUACAAUCGUGACUAUAUGGUGACAGAUUCUGCUCUAUCAAAUUAGUAAAUGUCGCCAUCGGUUCAAAUUAUAGGUGUCAUGUAAAACUAUUAGUUGCGGAAAGCUAUAGAUUCAAGAUGCAAUAUUUUAUUAUAGUCUCACCACAUACAAACAUAAAAUGAGAUUCACAUAGAUUGAUAUAAAACAUUUAAUAAUUUGCAUUGUAUGCACCAGUUCUAAAAAGAUUUAUG